This 479-nucleotide ribosomal RNA is filed under the name Spilogona sp. RNAcentral describes it as "partial large subunit ribosomal RNA". It matches the Rfam family "Bacterial large subunit ribosomal RNA", at positions 1852 to 2588 of the family's 2925-position model. Lineage: Eukaryota; Metazoa; Arthropoda; Insecta; Diptera; Muscidae. The record is from RNAcentral.
GUCUAGCCUGCCCACUGAAAUUUUUAAAUGGCCGCAGUAUACUAACUGUGCAAAGGUAGCAUAAUCAUUAGUCUUUUAAUUGAAGGCUGGUAUGAAUGGUUGGACGAAAUAUUAACUGUUUCAUAAAAAUUUAUAAUAAAAUUUUAUUUUUUAGUUAAAAAGCUAAAAUUUAUUUAAAAGACGAGAAGACCCUAUAAAUCUUUAUAUUUAAGUUAUAAUAAUUUUAUAGAUUUAUUUUAUUUUUAUAACUAAUAAUAUUUUAUUGGGGUGAUAUUAAAAUUUAAUAAACUUUUAAUUAAUAACUUCAUUAAUUAAUGAAUUUUUGAUCCUUUAUUAAUGAUUAAAAGAUCAAGUUACUUUAGGGAUAACAGCGUAAUUUUUUUUGAGAGUUCUUAUCGAAAAAAAAGAUUGCGACCUCGAUGUUGGAUUAAGAAAUAAUUUUAGGUGUAGUAGCUUAAAUUUUAAGUCUGUUCGACUUU